Molecule: ribosomal RNA, 462 nt
Filed under: uncultured ammonia-oxidizing beta proteobacterium
Lineage: Bacteria; Pseudomonadati; Pseudomonadota; Betaproteobacteria
Description: bacterial SSU rRNA
Rfam family: Bacterial small subunit ribosomal RNA
Source: RNAcentral
AAGCAGGGGAUCGCAAGACCUUGCGCUUUUGGAGCGGCCGAUGCCUGAUUAGCUAGUUGGUGGGGUAAUGGCCUACCAAGGCGACGAUCAGUAGUUGGUCUGAGAGGACGACCAGCCACACUGGGACUGAGACACGGCCCAGACUCCUACGGGAGGCAGCAGUGGGGAAUUUUGGACAAUGGGCGAAAGCCUGAUCCAGCAAUGCCGCGUGAGUGAAGAAGGCCUUCGGGUUGUAAAGCUCUUUCAGUCGAGACGAAAAGGUUGUGACUAAUAAUCACAACUCAUGACGGUAUCGACAGAAGAAGCACCGGCUAACUACGUGCCAGCAGCCGCGGUAAUACGUAGGGUGCGAGCGUUAAUCGGAAUUACUGGGCGUAAAGGGUGCGCAGGCGGCUUUGUAAGUCAGAUGUGAAAUCCCCGGGCUUAACCUGGGAAUUGCGUUUGAAACUACAAAGCUAGAGU